Chrysemys picta bellii (western painted turtle) is the source of this 2378-nucleotide long non-coding RNA. RefSeq lists it as uncharacterized. Lineage: Eukaryota; Metazoa; Chordata; Testudines; Emydidae. The record is from RefSeq and is a predicted model, not a curated record.
UGCCGCCCCUCCCCUCCCCGGGGCUGCACGGGGACGUGGUGAGCGGCGCGGCAUGGGGCCCUGGCAGGCAGGGAGUGUGGCUGCGGGAGGAAUAAUACAGACCACUUGAUGGAUGACACUGCCAGAGGUCGGCAGGAAGGCCGACCCUAAGUGCAGUGACUCUCCUGGAGCACCCAACUCCCUCUGGGCACUGGCCCAGACCACGUCUGCUUCGCGGUCUUUGAGAAAACAAGAGAGAAACCUGUCAGCUCAGCUGAAAAACAAUAGAAUUCAAACCCCAUAAAAAUGGGCCAUCUUUGAAUGAAGAAAAAGCCCACUCUCACCUGCCAACUCAACAAGCAGGAAAGGCUCCAGAGAGCUGCAGAUUAUGGGAUAAGUGACUCAGGCAUCCCACAACGGAACAGCUGGAGAGAGUGGUAUGAGGAAGGGGCAUUCCCGUUUUCCAAAGACCUGUGUUUUUACUGUGCAGUUUUGUACCACUAGAAGGACAAAUAGUACAUCGUUUGUCUGCAGUUGUGCACUUACCUAGUCUAGACUGACCCUUAGUGGUAAACUGGAAAUAUCAGCACAGUUCAAAUUUCAAAACAGUGCUUUUCCAUAAUCUAAUUAUUUGGAAAGGGGUAGAUACAUAUGCUGUAUGUCACAGUACAUGUAAAUAGUCCCUGUAACUGUCAGAAGUAUAAAUAAUACCAGUGCUAUCAAAAUAAUGAUUACAUGUGAAGAAUGCAAAAUGAAAAUUGUGAUGUCAAGACACACUAUAUUACAAGGAACAAAUAAGAAGCCUGUAUUGGGCACUAACAAAUACCUCAAGCUAACUAUGGAAUAUGUAUUAAUUAGGUCUCCAAAAUACCAUCUUUCUGAAAAGCAGCGUAUGUGUAAUAUUCCAACUUAUUAAUCAAAGCAAUGGGACAAUGUGAAAUCUGCAAAAAAUGAAUGGAUUGCAGAUGAUUGCCUACCUCUUUAAUAAUGACAGAGGAACACACCAGCUUCAAAUGCCAGUGACUCUCAGUCUUCUUUUUUUAAGCAGCCCAUAUUUUCAGUUCUCAAGGCAGUGAGGUAGAUAUGUUGGUUUCUUAUUGCAUUUUUUCCUGCAGCAUUAAUUCAAUUGAUGUUCUUCCCUAAUCAUGCUAAUUAUACUGCCAUAUGUUGCUCUCAUCCUUCUUUUUCUGUCCUAAUGGGACAUAGAUUCCCUCUUUUAAAUAUGUAAUUUAUUUAGUACAUGUAUUGAGGGUUUUAACAUUAUAUGAGUCUUUUAAUUGCUUUUUUAAACACUCAGCAGACUGAAUAUUAAAAAAUUGACAUGAAGGUCAAUUAUAAAUAAUAUUUGAAUUGCAUGUGUGGGGUUUUGUCUUUUUCUGUAAAUCUCUAAUUUGGAAGCAUCAAGUUUAUAGGAAUUAUUCACAUGACAACACACACAGAAUCAUAGAAAUGUAGGGCUGGAAUAGCAUUUGAGAGGUUAUCUAGUCCAUCUCCUAGUACAUAGGCCAUCCCUGACCUGUGUUUGUCAAACCUAUUGUUAAAAACCUUCAGUUACGGUGAUUCCACAACCUACUUUGGUAACUUAUUCCAGUACUUAAAUAUCCUUAUAGUUAGAAAGUUUUCCCUGACAUCACAUUUAAAUCUCCCUUGCUGCAAACUAAGCCAAUUACUUCUGGUCCUACCUACACUGGACAUGGAGAACAACUGAUCCCCAUCCUCUUUAUAAACAGCCCUUAACAUACUGGAGACCAUUAUCAGGUCCCCAUUCAGUCUUCGUUCUCAAGAAGAAAGACAAAGAAAUACAGAAAAAGAAAGACCCACUCGAGACCAAUUCCAUCUGUUUAAUAGCACCCUCCAUUUAACUCCCCAUUUUUCUGCUCUAACAAAAGCUACCUUAUAAAAGCUAUGGUGCUUACUGGUGCUAUAAUGCAGAUGCAUAUUGCCUAAAACAGAUAUUUUCUAGAUCAAUAAAAAUGUACUUGCUGUAAAAGAUAAACACUAAUAUUCAAAUGAGAUAAAGGUAAUCUGAAUAGCUCUAUUUGUAUAGAGCUGUUUAGGUUUCCCAAUUAACAGCCCAAGCCCAUGAAGUGCAGAGUACACCCAUCAAUAGGGUAGUUGAAUGUGACUUGAUGUCAUGCAGUGCCUCUCACCAGCCAUUAGUACCUCACAGGACUGGCCAUACUAGUAUAGAAAAUAACCAAUAAUAUAAUCGAAUAAUAGAGAAAGUCAAUAGGAUGAACACAUCCUUCGUAUCGUAUCACUGGCUGCAAUAAUGUUAGCUCAAGGAUGAAUUUGACCUCUUGUGUUCUUGAAUUUGGCCCAGGAGAUCAAUCCAUUUAUUCUUCAAGUAAUAAAAUAAUUUACAUUUUUAUGGGAUUUGAAAUGAUUGCUCAUGACAU